Molecule: ribosomal RNA, 600 nt
Filed under: Kluyveromyces marxianus
Lineage: Eukaryota; Fungi; Ascomycota; Saccharomycetes; Saccharomycetales; Saccharomycetaceae
Description: eukaryotic LSU rRNA
Rfam family: 5.8S ribosomal RNA (bases 154-307)
Source: RNAcentral
CUCUGCUAUCAGUUUUCUAUUUCUCAUCCUAAACACAAUGGAGUUUUUUCUCUAUGAACUACUUCCCUGGAGAGCUCGUCUCUCCAGUGGACAUAAACACAAACAAUAUUUUGUAUUAUGAAAAACUAUUAUACUAUAAAAUUUAAUAUUCAAAACUUUCAACAACGGAUCUCUUGGUUCUCGCAUCGAUGAAGAACGCAGCGAAUUGCGAUAUGUAUUGUGAAUUGCAGAUUUUCGUGAAUCAUCAAAUCUUUGAACGCACAUUGCGCCCUCUGGUAUUCCAGGGGGCAUGCCUGUUUGAGCGUCAUUUCUCUCUCAAACCUUUGGGUUUGGUAGUGAGUGAUACUCGUCUCGGGUUAACUUGAAAGUGGCUAGCCGUUGCCAUCUGCGUGAGCAGGGCUGCGUGUCAAGUCUAUGGACUCGACUCUUGCACAUCUACGUCUUAGGUUUGCGCCAAUUCGUGGUAAGCUUGGGUCAUAGAGACUCAUAGGUGUUAUAAAGACUCGCUGGUGUUUGUCUCCUUGAGGCAUACGGCUUUAACCAAAACUCUCAAAGUUUGACCUCAAAUCAGGUAGGAGUACCCGCUGAACUUAAGCAUAU